This is a long non-coding RNA of Dreissena polymorpha, 1265 nucleotides long. RefSeq lists it as uncharacterized. The record is from RefSeq and is a predicted model, not a curated record. The transcript is spliced from 2 exons. Lineage: Eukaryota; Metazoa; Mollusca; Bivalvia; Myida; Dreissenidae.
UUUUCACUGUAUUAAAACAGAUUUUGAAGUUUAAAAAUAGAAAUUAAUGAAUUGCAUGUUAAUUAUAUAUUGAGUUACUGUAAUUAAGUAAUAAACAAUGAUUUGCAUUUUUAGUUCUUUGAAAAUUGAUAGGAACUUUAACAAUAAGUAAAAUGUCUGGCAGUAUUGAAUACGAUGGAUCCCCGAAGUGAAGUAUGAAUUCGGUUUGCACAUAAAUAUGAGUUGGUGUCUGAGAAAACAGGACUUAAAUGUAUGUACGGAAAAAAAUCGUCUCAGAUCAGCCUGUACAUUCCCCACAGGCUAAUCAAAGAUGGCACUUGCCACUUGUAUGGAAUUCUUCACUUAAACUAAAUUUCUUGUUAAUGAAAAUCCAGUCUAGGUGUUAAAUGUCAUUCAAGGCUAAUCUUUAAGAUACUUUACACACAUGUAUUAUCCCUUUACCACUUAGAUACGUAUUUUGACGCAUUUUUUGUUCCUUAGAAAGUUAUAUUUAAUUUAAGACCUUUCUUAGUAGAUUCAAGUUUUUAUGCCCCCCUUCGAAGAAGAGGGGGUAUAUUGCUUUGCUCAUGUCGGUCGGUCUGUCGGUCCGUCCACCAGGUGGUUGUCAGACGAUAACUCAAGAACGCUUGGGCCUAGGAUCAUGAAACUUCAUAGGUACAUUGAUCAUGACUCGUAGAUGACCCCUAUUGAUUUUGAGGUCACUAGGUCAAAGGUCAAGGUCAUGGUGACCAGAAAUAGUAUAAUGGUUUUUGAAUGAUAACUCAAGAACGCAUACGCCUAGGAUCAUGAAACUUCAUGGGUAGAUUGAUCAUGACUUGCAGAUGACCCCUAUUGAUUUUGAGGUCACAAGGUCAAAGGUCAAGGUCACGGUGACCCGAAAUAGUAAAAUGGUUUUCGGAUGAUAACUCAAGAACGCUUUUGCCUAGGAUCAUGACACUUCAUAGGUACAUUGAUCGUGACCCGCAGAUGACCCCUAUUGAUUUUCAGGUCACUAGGUCAAAGGUCAAGGUCACAGUGACAAAAAUCGUAUUCACACAAUGGCUGCCACUACAACGGACAGCCCAUAUGAGGGGCAUGCAUGUUUUACAAACAGCCCUUGUUAAGUCUUCAUCUCCAAACCUCAGAUACUGAUGAACAGCAAACAUCAUAAAACCUGAACAGCCUGCGAGUAACUCUGUUUUCACAUGGCCUUUUUCACUGUGAUUCUGAGAGGGAAAGGUUAAGUCUUGUUUUCCCAAAGCACAGCUCAUUUGUUUUUACUGUUC